RNAcentral lists this transfer RNA (66 nucleotides) under Eremias stummeri (Stummer's racerunner). RNAcentral's name for it is "tRNA-Val". It matches the Rfam family "tRNA". From Rfam's summary of the family: Transfer RNA (tRNA) molecules are approximately 80 nucleotides in length. Their secondary structure includes four short double-helical elements and three loops (D, anti-codon, and T loops). Lineage: Eukaryota; Metazoa; Chordata; Lepidosauria; Squamata; Lacertidae. The record is from RNAcentral.
CAGAAGGUAGCUUAAAAAAAGCAUCCAGCUUACAAUUGGAAGACGCCACAACACUGGCCUUUUUGA